RNAcentral lists this ribosomal RNA (456 nucleotides) under Winogradskyella sp. R-43254. RNAcentral's name for it is "bacterial SSU rRNA". It matches the Rfam family "Bacterial small subunit ribosomal RNA", at positions 28 to 475 of the family's 1533-position model. The record is from RNAcentral. Lineage: Bacteria; Pseudomonadati; Bacteroidota; Flavobacteriia; Flavobacteriales; Flavobacteriaceae.
GAUGAACGCUAGCGGCAGGCCUAACACAUGCAAGUCGAACGGUAACAGAGAAGAGCUUGCUCUUUUGCUGACGAGUGGCGCACGGGUGAGUAACGCGUAUACAAUCUACCUUUUACAGGGGGAUAGCCUUUAGAAAUGAAGAUUAAUAUCCCAUAGUAAGUUAUCAUUGCAUGAUAGUAACUUUAAAGUUUCGGCGGUAAAAGAUGAGUAUGCGUUCUAUUAGCUAGAUGGUGUGGUAACGGCACACCAUGGCAACGAUAGAUAGGGGCCCUGAGAGGGGGAUCCCCCACACUGGUACUGAGACACGGACCAGACUCCUACGGGAGGCAGCAGUGAGGAAUAUUGGACAAUGGGCGCGAGCCUGAUCCAGCCAUGCCGCGUGCAGGAAGACUGCCCUAUGGGUUGUAAACUGCUUUUAUACAGGAAGAAACCUUUUCACGUGUGAAAAGCUGACGG